Molecule: ribosomal RNA, 2921 nt
Filed under: Lactiplantibacillus plantarum subsp. plantarum
Lineage: Bacteria; Bacillati; Bacillota; Bacilli; Lactobacillales; Lactobacillaceae
Description: bacterial LSU rRNA
Rfam family: Bacterial large subunit ribosomal RNA
Source: RNAcentral
AGGUUAAGUUAACAAGGGCGCAUGGUGAAUGCCUUGGCACUAGGAGCCGAUGAAGGACGGGACUAACACCGAUAUGCUUCGGGGAGCUGUACGUAAGCUAUGAUCCGGAGAUUUCCGAAUGGGGCAACCCAGCAGUUUUAAUCAACUGUUACCACUAGAUGAAUUCAUAGUCUAGUUGGAGGUAAACGCUGUGAACUGAAACAUCUCAUUAGCAGCAGGAAUAUAAAGAAAUUUCGAUUCCCUAAGUAGCGGCGAGCGAACGGGGAACAGCCCAAACCAAAGUGCUUGCACUUUGGGGUUGUAGGACUGAACAUUUGAGUUACCAAAGAACUUGAUAGUCGAAGGAUUUGGGAAAAUCCGCCAUAGAUGGUGAUAGCCCAGUAGAUUAAAUCAAAUUCUCUCAGUUCAGGAUCCUGAGUACGGCGGAACACGUGAAAUUCCGUCGGAAUCCGGGAGGACCAUCUCCCAAGGCUAAAUACUACCUAGUGACCGAUAGUGAACCAGUACCGUGAGGGAAAGGUGAAAAGCACCCCGGGAGGGGAGUGAAAUAGUUCCUGAAACCAUGUGCCUACAAUAAGUCAGAGCGCGUUAAUGCGUGAUGGCGUGCCUUUUGUAGAAUGAACCGGCGAGUUAUGAUCCCGUGCAAGGUUAAGACUAAAAAGUCGGAGCCGUAGCGAAAGCGAGUCUGAAAUGGGCGUUUUGAGUACGAGGUUAUAGACCCGAAACCAGGUGACCUAUCCAUGUCCAGGUUGAAGGUGCGGUAAAACGCACUGGAGGACCGAACCCGUGUAAGUUGAAAAUUGCUGGGAUGAGGUGUGGAUAGCGGUGAAAUUCCAAACGAACUUGGAGAUAGCUGGUUCUCUCCGAAAUAGCUUUAGGGCUAGCCUCGGAAUUAGGAUCAUGGAGGUAGAGCACUAUUUGGACUAGGGGCCCGUCUUGGGUUACUGAAUUCAGAUAAACUCCGAAUGCCAUUGAUUCAUAUCCGGGAGUCAGACGAUGAGUGAUAAGAUCCACCGUCGAAAGGGGAACAGCCCAGACCAUCAGUUAAGGUCCCUAAAUGUAUGCUAAGUGGAAAAGGAUGUGGAGUUGCAUAGACAACUAGGAUGUUGGCUCAGAAGCAGCCACCAUUUAAAGAGUGCGUAAUAGCUCACUAGUCGAGUGAUCCUGCGCCGAAAAUGUACCGGGGCUAAGCAUACUACCGAAACCAUGGAUGCGACCAUUAGGUCGCGUGAUAGGAGAGCGUUCUAAGGGCGGUGAAGCAAGAUCGUGAGGACUUGUGGAGCGCUUAGAAGUGAGAAUGCCGGUAUGAGUAGCGAAAGAUAGGUGAGAAUCCUAUCCACCGAAUGACUAAGGUUUCCUGGGGAAGGCUCGUCCUCCCAGGGUUAGUCGGGACCUAAGUCGAGGCCGAGAGGCGUAGACGAUGGAUAACAGGUUGAGAUUCCUGUACUAGUUAAGUGCGUUUGAGCAAUGGAGGGACGCAGGAGGCUAAGAUGUGCAUUCUGUUGGAUUAGAAUGUCCAAGCAGUAAGUCUUGUGAAGAGUCAAAUGCUUUUCACUUUAAGGACAAGCUGUGAUGGGGAGCGAAAUUUAGUAGCGAAGCGUCUGAUGUCACACUGCCGAGAAAAGCUUCUAGUGAGUACUUAACUACCCGUACCGCAAACCGACACAGGUAGUCGAGGAGAGAAUCCUAAGGUGAGCGAGUGAACUCUCGUUAAGGAACUCGGCAAAAUGACCCGUAACUUCGGGAGAAGGGGUGCUGAUCGCAAGAUCAGCCGCAGUGAAUAGGCCCAGGCGACUGUUUAUCAAAAACACAGGUCUCUGCAAAAUCGUAAGAUGACGUAUAGGGGCUGACGCCUGCCCGGUGCUGGAAGGUUAAAAGGAUGGGUUAGCUUCGGCGAAGCUCAGAAUUGAAGCCCCAGUAAACGGCGGCCGUAACUAUAACGGUCCUAAGGUAGCGAAAUUCCUUGUCGGGUAAGUUCCGACCCGCACGAAAGGCGUAACGAUCUGGGCACUGUCUCAACGAGAGACUCGGUGAAAUUAUAUUGUCCGUGAAGAUGCGGACUACCCGCGACAGGACGGAAAGACCCCAUGGAGCUUUACUGUAGCUUGAUAUUGAGUGUUUGUACAGCUUGUACAGGAUAGGUAGGAGCCAUAGAAACCGGAACGCUAGUUUCGGUGGAGGCGUUGGUGGGAUACUACCCUCGCUGUAUGACCACUCUAACCCGCACCACUAAUCGUGGUGGGAGACAGUGUCAGGUGGGCAGUUUGACUGGGGCGGUCGCCUCCUAAAAAGUAACGGAGGCGCCCAAAGGUUCCCUCAGAAUGGUUGGAAAUCAUUCGCAGAGUGUAAAGGCACAAGGGAGCUUGACUGCGAGACAGACAGGUCGAGCAGGGACGAAAGUCGGGCUUAGUGAUCCGGUGGUACCGUAUGGAAGGGCCAUCGCUCAACGGAUAAAAGCUACCCUGGGAUAACAGGCUUAUCUCCCCCAAGAGUCCACAUCGACGGGGAGGUUUGGCACCUCGAUGUCGGCUCAUCGCAUCCUGGGGCUGUAGUCGGUCCCAAGGGUUGGGCUGUUCGCCCAUUAAAGCGGUACGCGAGCUGGGUUCAGAACGUCGUGAGACAGUUCGGUCCCUAUCCGUCGCGGGCGUAGGAAAUUUGAGAGGACCUGUCCUUAGUACGAGAGGACCGGGAUGGACAUACCUCUGGUGUACCAGUUGUGCCGCCAGGCGCAUCGCUGGGUAGCUACGUAUGGAUGUGAUAAACGCUGAAAGCAUCUAAGUGUGAAACACACCUCGAGAUGAGAUUUCCCAUUCCUUUAUGGAAGUAAGACCCCUGAAAGAUGAUCAGGUAGAUAGGUUAGAAGUGGCAGUGCGGUGACGCAUGAAGCGGACUAAUACUAAUCGGUCGAGGACUUAACCAAG